Molecule: ribosomal RNA, 492 nt
Filed under: uncultured bacterium
Lineage: Bacteria
Description: partial 16S ribosomal RNA
Rfam family: Bacterial small subunit ribosomal RNA
Source: RNAcentral
AGUGAACGCUGGCGGUAGGCCUAACACAUGCAAGUCGAACGGCAGCACAGUAAGAGCUUGCUCUUACGGGUGGCGAGUGGCGGACGGGUGCGGAAUACAUCGGAAUCUACUUUUUCGUGGGGGAUAACGUAGGGAAACUUACGCUAAUACCGCAUACGACCUACGGGUGAAAGCUGGGGAUCUUCGGAUCUUGCGCGAUUGUAUGAGCCGAUGUCGGAUUAGCUAGUUGGCGGGGUAAAGGCCCACCAAGGCGACGAUCCGUAGCUGGUCUGAGAGGAUGAUCAGCCACACUGGAACUGAGACACGGUCCAGACUCCUACGGGAGGCAGCAGUGGGGAAUAUUGGACAAUGGGCGCAAGCCUGAUCCAGCCAUACCGCGUGGGUGAAGAAGGCCUUCGGGUUGUAAAGCCCUUUUGUUGGGAAAGAAAAGCAGCAGGUUAAUACCCCGCUGUUCUGACGGUACCCAAAGAAUAAGCACCGGCUAACUUCGUG